AGCAGCCGCGGUAAUUCCAGCUCCAAUAGCGUAUAUUAAAGUUGUUGCAGUUAAAAAGCUCGUAGUUGAAUUUCGGGAUUAAUAUGCUGGUCGUGCCAUUGGUACGUACUAGUAUUAUUGAUUUCUCCCUUCUGAUGAAUCAUGAUGUCAUUAAUUUGAUGUCAUGGGGAAUCAGGACUGUUACUUUGAAAAAAUUAGAGUGUUUAAAGCAGGCUCGCGCUUGAAUACAUUAGCAUGGAAUAAUGAAAUAGGACGUUUGAUUCUAUUUUGUUGGUUUCUAGGAUUGACGUAAUGAUUAAUAGGGAUAGUUGGGGGCAUUAGUAUUCAAUUGUCAGAGGUGAAAUUCUUGGAUUUAUUGAAGACUAACUACUGCGAAAGCAUUUGCCAAGGAUGGUUUCAUUAAUCAAGAACGAAAGUUAGGGGAUCGAAGACGAUCAGAUACCGUCGUAGUCUUAACCAUAAACUAUGCCGACUAGGGAUCGGAUGAUGUUAAUUAUGACUCAUUCGGCGCCUUACG
RNAcentral lists this ribosomal RNA (517 nucleotides) under uncultured Glomeraceae. Its description in RNAcentral is "SSU rRNA". It matches the Rfam family "Eukaryotic small subunit ribosomal RNA", at positions 569 to 1092 of the family's 1831-position model. Lineage: Eukaryota; Fungi; Glomeromycota; Glomeromycetes; Glomerales; Glomeraceae. The record is from RNAcentral.